RNAcentral lists this ribosomal RNA (498 nucleotides) under uncultured bacterium. RNAcentral describes it as "bacterial SSU rRNA". It matches the Rfam family "Bacterial small subunit ribosomal RNA", at positions 31 to 518 of the family's 1533-position model. The record is from RNAcentral.
GACCGCUGGCGGCGCGUUUUAAGCAUGCAAGUCGAGCGGCAAGGGCCUUCGGGCCCUAGAGCGGCGGACGGGUGAGUAACACGUGGACAAUCUCGCCCCCCGGCCCGGGAUAGCCCAGGGAAACCUGGAUUAAUACCGGAUGAGACGGGACCCGCGAUGGCGGGAUCCGGGAAAGGCGCUGCGGCGCCGCCGGGGGAUGAGUCUGCGUCCCAUUAGCUAGACGGCGGGGUAACGGCCCACCGUGGCGACGAUGGGUAGCCGGCCUGAGAGGGUGGACGGCCACAUUGGAACUGAGACACGGUCCAGACUCCUACGGGAGGCAGCAGCUAAGAAUCUUCCGCAAUGGGCGAAAGCCUGACGGAGCCGACGCCGCGUGAACGAAGAAGGCCGUGAGGUUGUAAAGUUCUUUUCGGGAGGGGGAACAACCGUGGCAGGGAAUGGCCGCGGGAUGACGUGAAUCCCGGAAUAAGCCCCGGCUAACUACGUGCCAGCCGCUGC